UACGUAGGGGGCAAGCGUUGUCCGGAAUCAUUGGGCGUAAAGCGCGUGUAGGCGGCUCGGUAAGUCCGCUCUGAAAGCCCGGGGCUCAACCCCGGGAGGCGGGUGGAUACUGCUGAGCUCGAGUCCGGAAGAGGAGUGUGGAAUUCCCAGUGUAGUGGUGAAAUACGUAGAGAUUGGGAAGAACACCAGUGGCGAAGGCGGCUAUCUGGACGGUUUCUGACGCUAAGACGCGAAAGCGUGGGGAGCAAACAGG
This 253-nucleotide ribosomal RNA is filed under the name uncultured bacterium. Its description in RNAcentral is "partial 16S ribosomal RNA". It matches the Rfam family "Bacterial small subunit ribosomal RNA", at positions 524 to 776 of the family's 1533-position model. The record is from RNAcentral.